RNAcentral lists this ribosomal RNA (423 nucleotides) under uncultured bacterium. RNAcentral's name for it is "bacterial SSU rRNA". It matches the Rfam family "Bacterial small subunit ribosomal RNA", at positions 207 to 622 of the family's 1533-position model. The record is from RNAcentral.
AAGACCUUGCGCUUUUGGAGCGGCCGAUGUCUGAUUAGCUAGUUGGUGGGGUAAUGGCCUACCAAAGCUUCGAUCAGUAGCUGGUCUGAGAGGACGGCCAGCCACACUGGGACUGAGACACGGCCCAGACUCCUACGGGAGGCAGCAGUGGGGAAUUUUGGACAAUGGGCGCAAGCCUGAUCCAGCCAUGCCGCGUGAGUGAAGAAGGCCUUCGGGUUGUAAAGCUCUUUCAGCCGGGAAGAAAAGGCUGCGACUAAUAAUCGCAGUUCAUGACGGUACCGGAAGAAGAAGCACCGGCUAACUACGAGCCAGCAGCCGCGGUAAUACGUAGGGUGCGAGCGUUAAUCGGAAUUACUGGGCGUAAAGGGUGCGCAGGCGGUUUUGUAAGUCAGAUGUGAAAUCCCCGGGCUUAACCUGGGAACU